CGGGCUCGCCCGAGCCACCGCCCUUCCGACUGCGCUGCCCCGGGCAGGGCCCCGGCAACGUGACGCCCACCUCGUAGGCGCCACGGCAGCGCCCAGGCCGCCCAGGCCCCCGGACACCGCCACACGGUCUCCGUACUCCUUGUGAUAUCCUUCGACCGCGAGGAACAGCGCCGAGAACACGGCCCACACCGGCCGGACGCAAGCAAGGCCUUCUUCAUCAGCAGACGCGAGGCCAGCUCGGCCCGAGACUCGGCCCGAGCCGAGACGGUCACCCCUUCGUUGGCCCUCUUUAGGACAGCCUGAGGAUUGACGGGUUUCAUCUCAUCCCCCUACAUCUGUGUGUCACGUCAAUCCCGGACCUCAGGCUCGAAUCAGAUAGUCUUUGCCAGAUCCGUUCUUUUGAACGUCAUUGUGUCUACUGAUAUAUGUUAUAGAUUCAGCUUUAAACUUUUUUCCUAUUCUCCGGCCUGAAAUUUAUCUGGAUUUGAUUGUAAAAUUCAUCCUUGUUUCCUCAACUUAGUUUUCUUUGCGCUCAGGUGGUGUAUCUGUGGAUUCAUAGUACUUGUGUGUUGUGGUAGCGUGCUGCGUUAGUCUAGACGGCAGCCUCGACAGUCUUCCGAUGUCGCUAAUCCAUACUAGUCAUUGGAAAAAAAAAACGUGAAACAUUCGGCACCUGAGAAAAAAAUUCCACGCGGAAUUUGUUGUUGUAGAUGGCCGAUUCGUGGACAGACGUGAUCUCCUCCACCUCCCCUUACCUUACCCUGUCUUUUUUUAAUGGAAAUAUUACCAUCAUCCCAAAUUCAAAUUAAUCUAUUGAUAUCCCGCCAAAUUUAAAUUUAAAAUUUCAUCCCUGGCUUAAUUCAAUUCUUUUCCUUUUUUUCUUUUUAAUCAUGGUCUGGUAGUGCUUCCCUCGUUGGCCUGAUUGUUGGCGUUCUUCGAAAGAUGUCUUGGCUUUUUUUGUGUUCAAAGGGGCCGGUUGAGAGGUGGCUGUCUGUUCACAUCCUUAGUCAUACUGCUGGCUUGCACUCAAAGUGGCUGUGGACUAAUCAGAAACCACGUGACGAUUCAGAGGAGAGAAGUGGAGUCUGCUGAAGUGGUUUCUGAGUGGUCCUUUGGUUUGCGAGUGACAUAGUUGUUGGGCAGCAAUCCUGCCUAGUUUUGUGAUAUUUUCGUACUGGAGCAUCAAUUGAGAGAGCGGUUUUGUUUUUAGUUAUUUUAUUCUCGGCUUGUAACUUUUUUUGUUUUGUAUCAAUUCUUUAGAGUAACUUUGAAUGUUUUGUGAUAUUAAUGAAUGAAAAACAAUGGUGGACUCGAUCCUAAGUUCUGAUAGACUGAUGUGUGUAGUUUCAUAAGCAGUAAGAGCGGCACACAGCACAGAUACCUCUGUAGAAGUAUGUAGAUCAAGUCAGCUAUUAUAAUAGAAUUUAUUGUGCUUUUUCUUGCAUAUUUACGUAAUUUUAAGCACAUUUUCAUUACUUAUUACAUUCACCUUUGUAUCAUUCUCUCGGAAAAAAACAUUCUGUGCUGUGAAAUUGCCAUAAACUAUGUGUGUCCCAAAUUAUGCUGCAUCUUCUAUUGUAAGUGAACUAUGUCACAGAGAAACUGUGCAAAGUAAAACACUGGUGUUUACUUGUCUGUCAUUUAUGUCUCCAAGACUCAAAAACUGUAUGGGAAAGUUAAUGUUUCUCCCUGCCUGUCACUAAAAUUUUUAGGAUGGAUGUUAGUUGUUGCACUCUUUAUAGCCAUGUAGUAUAUUGUAUUUUGUUUUAUUUGCCAUAGAUAUUUUAGCAUCUUGUACAGUUUUUAAUAGCUUUUGAGUUUUUCCUGUAAAUUGUCCGUUGAUUGCUGCUUCACAAAUAUUUACAUUUUGUGAUAUGUGGCCUUGUUAUAAUUAUGUUAAUAUGAUUAUUGUCACAUAUUGAUUAAUAUAAUUUAUUCAGAUUGUUGUGACCAAA
Long non-coding RNA from Thrips palmi, 1955 nucleotides. RefSeq lists it as uncharacterized. The record is from RefSeq and is a predicted model, not a curated record. The transcript has 2 exons. Lineage: Eukaryota; Metazoa; Arthropoda; Insecta; Thysanoptera; Thripidae.